This 465-nucleotide ribosomal RNA is filed under the name uncultured bacterium. Its description in RNAcentral is "partial 16S ribosomal RNA". It matches the Rfam family "Bacterial small subunit ribosomal RNA", at positions 338 to 795 of the family's 1533-position model. The record is from RNAcentral.
CCUACGGGAGGCAGCAGUAGGGAAUCUUCCACAAUGGACGAAAGUCUGAUGGAGCAACGCCGCGUGAGUGAAGAAGGGUUUCGGCUCGUAAAGCUCUGUUGGUAGUGAAGAAAGAUAGAGGUAGUAACUGGCCUUUAUUUGACGGUAAUUACUUAGAAAGUCACGGCUAACUACGUGCCAGCAGCCGCGGUAAUACGUAGGUGGCAAGCGUUGUCCGGAUUUAUUGGGCGUAAAGCGAGUGCAGGCGGUUCAAUAAGUCAGAUGUGAAAGCCUUCGGCUCAACCGGAGAAUUGCAUCAGAAACUGGUGAGCUUGAGUGUCGAAGAGGAGGGUAGAACUCCAGGUGUAGCGGUGGAAUGCGUAGAGAUAUGGAAGAACACCAGUGGCGAAGGCGGCCCCCUGGUCUAAAACUGACGCUGAGGUUCGAAAGCAUGGGGAGCAAACAGGAUUAGAUACCCUUGUAGUC